RNAcentral lists this ribosomal RNA (638 nucleotides) under Corynebacterium glutamicum. RNAcentral's name for it is "bacterial SSU rRNA". It matches the Rfam family "Bacterial small subunit ribosomal RNA", at positions 64 to 706 of the family's 1533-position model. The record is from RNAcentral. Lineage: Bacteria; Bacillati; Actinomycetota; Actinomycetes; Mycobacteriales; Corynebacteriaceae.
GAACGCYGAAACCAAAUGCUUGCAUUUGGUGGGAUGAGUGGCGAACGGGUGAGUHACACGUGGGUGAUCUGCCCUACACUUUGGGAUAAGCCUGGGAAACUGGGUCUAAUACCGAAUAUUCACACUACCGUAGGGMUGGGUGUGGAAAGCUUUAUGCGGUGUGGGAUGAGCCUGCGGCCUAUCABCUUGUUGGUGGGGUAAUGGCCUACCAAGGCGUCGACGGGUAGCCGGCCUGAGAGGGUGUACGGCCACAUUGGGACUGAGACACGGCCCAGACUCCUACGGGAGGCAGCAGHYGGGAAUAUUGCACAAUGGGCGCAACCUGAUGCAGCGACGCCGCGUGGGGGAUGAAGGCCUUCGGGUUGUAAACUCCUUUCGCUAGGGACGAAGCCUUUUUGGUGACGGUACCUGGAGAAGAAGCACCGGCUAACUACGUGCMAGCAGCCGCGGUAAUACGUAGGGUGCGAGCUUUGUCCGGAAUUACUGGGCGUAAAGAGCUCGUAGGUGSGUUUGUCGCGUCGUCUGUAAAAUCCCGGGGCUUAACUUCGGGCGUGCAGGCGAUACGGGCAUAACUUGAGUCCUGUAGGGGAGACUGGAAUUCCUGGUGUAGCGGUGAAAUGCGCAGAUAUCAGGAGGAA